RNAcentral lists this unclassified non-coding RNA (408 nucleotides) under soil metagenome. RNAcentral's name for it is "partial contains 5.8S ribosomal RNA, internal transcribed spacer 2, and large subunit ribosomal RNA". The stretch from base 1 to 120 matches the Rfam family "5.8S ribosomal RNA", at positions 35 to 154 of the family's 154-position model. The record is from RNAcentral.
GAUGAAGAACGUAGCGAAAUGCGAUAAGUAAUGUGAAUUGCAGAAUUCAGUGAAUCAUCGAAUCUUUGAACGCACCUUGCGCUCCUUGGCAUUCCGAGGAGCAUGCCUGUUUGAGUGUCAUUAAAUUCUCAAGACCUGUCUGCUUUUUUGAUAGGUAUUGGAUUUUGGGGGUUGCAGGCUGUUUCAAAUAAAUAGCCUUGCUCUCCUUGAAUGUAUUAGUGGAGAAAAGCCAUUGAACUCCAUUGGUGUGAUAAAACCUAUCAAUGCCAGGAGCAAUAUCACUACUGCUCUCUGCUGUCUAACUGUGACUGUCUGUAUUAAUUAGUAUGGAUGGGGACAACUUGACCAACUUGACCUCAAAUCAGGUAGGACUACCCGCUGAACUUAAGCAUAUCAAUAAGCGGAGGA